ACGAACGCUGGCGGCGUGCUUAAUACAUGCAAGUCAAGGAGAACGUUUUUUUCGGAAAACUAUUAAACUGGCGAACGGGUGAGUAACACGUAGGCAACCUGCCUUGGAGAUGGGGAUAACCUCGGGAAACCGGGACUAAUACCGAAUAAUGCAGCGGCUUCUUUGGAAGAUGUUGUUAAAGCGGGCUUCGGCUCGCACUUCAAGAUGGGCCUGCGUCCGAUUAGCUUGUUGGUAAGGUAACGGCUUACCAAGGCGAUGAUCGGUAGCUGGUCUGAGAGGAUGAUCAGCCACACUGGGAUUGAGAUACGGCCCAGACUCCUACGGGAGGCAGCAGUAGGGAAUUUUGCGCAAUGGACGAAAGUCUGACGCAGCAACGCCGCGUGAUCGAUGAAGCUUCUAGGAGUGUAAAGAUCUGUCGUGAGGGAAGAAAAAUCUGGAUGUAAAUAAUGUUCAGACUUGACGGUACCUUACAAGAAAGCACCGGCUAACUUCGUGCCAGCAGCCGCGGUAAUACGAGGGGUGCUAGCGUUGUCCGGAAUAACUGGGCGUAAAGGGUCCGUAGGCGUUUUGCCAAGUUGAUCGUUAAAGCCACCGGCUCAACCGGUGAUCUGCGAUCAAAACUGGCAGAAUAGAAUAUGUGAGGGGAAUGUGGAAUUCCUGGUGUAGCGGUGACAUGCGUAGAUAUCAGGAGGAACACCAAUGGCGAAGGCAGCAUUCUGGCACAAUAUUGACGCUGAGGGACGAAAGCGUGGGGAGCGAACAGGAUUAGAUACCCUGGUAGUCCACGCCGUAAACGAUGAG
Molecule: ribosomal RNA, 801 nt
Filed under: uncultured bacterium FPPP_13C3
Lineage: Bacteria
Description: bacterial SSU rRNA
Rfam family: Bacterial small subunit ribosomal RNA
Source: RNAcentral